This 70-nucleotide microRNA precursor is filed under the name Saimiri boliviensis boliviensis (Bolivian squirrel monkey). RNAcentral describes it as "miRNA (ENSSBOG00000002848.1)". Lineage: Eukaryota; Metazoa; Chordata; Mammalia; Primates; Cebidae. The record is from RNAcentral.
UAUCAGGUUGGUGCAAAAGUAAUUGCAGUUUUUGCCAUUGCUUUUAAUGGCAAAAACUGCAAUUACUUUU